This 581-nucleotide ribosomal RNA is filed under the name Rhizostoma pulmo. Its description in RNAcentral is "partial 16S large subunit ribosomal RNA". It matches the Rfam family "Bacterial large subunit ribosomal RNA", at positions 1832 to 2574 of the family's 2925-position model. The record is from RNAcentral. Lineage: Eukaryota; Metazoa; Cnidaria; Scyphozoa; Rhizostomeae; Rhizostomatidae.
GCCCCACUUCGUAAAUGUGGGGUGAGACCUGCUCAAUGAUUGCCAAUAAUAACUAAAAACAAUUAAAUAGCCGCGGUAACUCUGACCGUGAUAAAGUAGCAUAAUCACUCGUCAUUUAAUUGAUGACUGGAAUGAAUGGUUAAACGAAUCUUUAACUGUCUCGGAAGGAAAUUUGCUUAAUUUGAAAAAACAGUGAAGAUGCUGUUGCAAGAUUGUAAGACGAAAAGACCCUAUCGAGCUUUACUAAAAGCUUACAUAUUUAUAGAAUUACAAGAUUUUGAUAAUACAUAUUAUGUAAGCCUGUUAGUUUGGUUGGGGCGACCACCUCUAAAAAAGUAUCAGAGGAAUUCUAAAGGUUUAUUAACAAUAUAUAAUGCCUUACUGUAUACGUACCGGUUAAUCAGUUACUUAUGAGUAGGAUAUAAUGACCCGUUGAAAGUAUUUUUAUGUUUAACGACUAUGGAAAAAGUUACCGUAGGGAUAACAGGGUAAUAUUUUCGAAGAGUUCAUAUCGAUGAAAAUGUUUGCCACCUCGAUGUUGAAUUGUGAUAUCCUAAGGGUGUAGCAGCUCUUGAGGGUUG